GAUCGUAACACUCCCGAUCAGCAUCUCUCCUCAGACUCUGAGGAAGAGGUCCAGGGUCCUGAUGGUCAGCCAGGAUAUCAACACGUCCUGAGGCUGGCCAAGGCCCUGGUGGAGAUCAGGAAUCCCCAACAGCAGGGUAGACUGAAUUGUUGCGCUCUGGGAACGCCUCCCAGAGUCUGACAAGCAGCGGGUCGUCUACCCUGCCAGUGUAACGGGUUCACAAUGUAUGUUAUAAUUACACAAAAUUGUAUUAUUUUUAUUUUUCACCUGGCAAUUGGGUCGCAUGCUAAUAGGGUCCUUCAGGUCCUAAAUAUAAGUUGAUGCUCCGCCCUUCCUCUUCCCUUUUUCUGCUUUCUGAUUUGGAAGAGGUGAGUGUGGCGGAUUGAUUUUUCUUUAUAUUUAAUUUCUGUGUUAAUUUAAACUUUAUGUUUUAGUUUUGGGCACUGUCGGAGCGCGGCACAUGCUGACGCCAUAUUUUGUUUUAAAACCAGAAUAAAUGAACGCUGUUUCAACAAAA
Molecule: long non-coding RNA, 517 nt
Organism: Oryzias melastigma (Indian medaka)
Lineage: Eukaryota; Metazoa; Chordata; Actinopteri; Beloniformes; Adrianichthyidae
Exons: 2
Source: RefSeq, a predicted model, not a curated record